Long non-coding RNA from Homo sapiens (human), 900 nucleotides. RefSeq lists it as uncharacterized. The transcript has 2 exons. The record is from RefSeq and is a predicted model, not a curated record. NCBI's taxonomy places the organism in Eukaryota, Metazoa, Chordata, Mammalia, Primates, Hominidae.
UUCCUGGAGCCUGAUUUCUGGUUCUGAGCGGAAAGCCAUUGUCCCAGGCUCCACUCAGUCUAGUUGCAAGUGCAGAUCGGAGGCUAGGAAAGUCCCCUCAUCCACUUCGCACAGAGGAAUUGAUUCUCGGAACCAGAGGAGAAAGGCAGGAGGCAAAACACAGAAGGCAGGGAGACCCCUUCACCCCGGCCUUCCUGCUUCCUGCGCCAGCCUGGCCACACCCUCCUCCCAGCCCAGCCCCAACACCGCACUUUCUCCGGGUCCUGUCGUUCUUCUGUGUGCACCUCGUACUCCAGCCAAAGGAAAGUUCCUCCUGUUUCCAGAACGUUCGCAUGCUUUCCUGCAGCAGGUCUUGUUCACGCCUGUUCCUCUGCCUAAGAAGCCACCACCCAGGACUUUGCAAUGAAGGUUUUGAUUUCGUCUGAGAUUGCCCCCAGCCCCCCUGCCUGGGGCCCUGCCCUGCUCCUGCUGGCUGACAUCGCUGGCCACUGCUCCCUGAGCUGGGUCAGUGCACAGCCUGGAGUGAUUCCUGAUGACGCUGGGAAAUGGACCUAUGACCCCUGCUUGUGAAGGGUCAGUGAACUUUCUGGUGGUGCACAGGGUGUCAGAACAGUGUCAGCAGGGCCAGCGGGGGAAAGUGCUGACAACUGUAGGCCCAGGCAGGACCGGCUCCUCCCUCGGAAGACUGCAAGCAGUGAUAGCCAUCUGUCCUUAUCUCCGCCCCUCCAGCUCCCACAGCCAUCCAGCUGACUUCCAAUAGACAAAUGGAAGUCAAGGGUGUCUGAAAUUAACCAGUCAUCUUCUCCAGGCCAUUUUCUCAUGGAAAGGGAUUAACCUAAAGAAGGAUGUGUGUUUUCUGGAAGGAUAAUAAAUCUCUGCUCCUCUUGGGUUUUUCCUCCA